RNAcentral lists this ribosomal RNA (429 nucleotides) under Bacillota bacterium. RNAcentral's name for it is "Firmicutes bacterium partial 16S ribosomal RNA". It matches the Rfam family "Bacterial small subunit ribosomal RNA", at positions 355 to 776 of the family's 1533-position model. Lineage: Bacteria; Bacillati; Bacillota. The record is from RNAcentral.
UGGGGAAUUUUGGACAAUGGGCGAAAGCCUGAUCCAGCCAUGCCGCGUGCAGGAUGAAGGCCUUCGGGUUGUAAACUGCUUUUGUACGGAACGAAAAGACUCCUUCUAAUAAAGGGAGUCCAUGACGGUACCGUAAGAAUAAGCACCGGCUAACUACGUGCCAGCAGCCGCGGUAAUACGUAGGGUGCGAGCGUUAAUCGGAAUUACUGGGCGUAAAGCGUGCGCAGGCGGUUAUAUAAGACAGAUGUGAAAUCCCCGGGCUCAACCUGGGAACUGCAUUUGUGACUGUAUAGCUAGAGUACGGCAGAGGGGGAUGGAAUUCCGCGUGUAGCAGUGAAAUGCGUAGAUAUGCGGAGGAACACCGAUGGCGAAGGCAAUCCCCUGGGCCUGUACUGACUCUCAUGCACGAAAGCGUGGGGAGCAAACAGG